CCCCUUUUGAUGCAUCACAUUGCAGUGACAUUACGUGUGUUAGUAGUGAAAAUCAUUGAAGUAUAUCACUGCACGCUUCCUUAAUCACUGUAACACGGUCUAGUUGUUUCUAUGAAUUGAUUGUUUCAUUUCCACCUAGACUUUGUGGGCGAUGACCACCACAACAGUACAGCAAGAGCAUAAACACAAUAGCAAGGGGGGAAUAUAGGGUUGUAGCCGCCACAAUAUUGGAGUUUCAUGAACACAGACAGUACCAUUACUAAUAUGUAACACGUUUUCGAUACAACCUCAGGUAUCAUGCAUGGAGAAACAAACAAUAGCAAAACAAAUAACAAAGAUCUUAAACAAUGCACACAUGAACGAAAUGAAAAUACAGUCGCCACUAGCUACUAGCAGCUAUAGCGUUAACAUAUCAUCACCAGCACUGACACACUGGCUAGCGUGAGCAAAUGAUCCCUUAAGGCGCGGCGGCAUUCACAAUCAAACUAAGCAGGUUGCCAAAGCCGCCCUGGCCAUGGUUGUCGUUGUAGCUGUUGCCGGCGGCCGAAAGUGGGAGUGGGAAGGCGAACCAGUUGCCGAACUUGUUGGAAAAUCCGCCCAUAGACACCUUGUCUGUCAUUACGGCGACUAACUUGGUCUGGUGGCCACGAUCGGUCUGCAAGGCGACGAGGACGUAGCGGCCUUCGGCUGGUGGUAGGCUGCGCUGAGCCAGCCAAGAAAGGCUGCUGGCGGCGAGGGCAACGGUGAGGAAGAGGAGCACAAUGGAACAGCGUGGUCCGCCCUCCAUGGUGAAAAACCUAUCUAUCUAUCUAUCAAUAAUAAUGAAUGAUUCAGCCACUGCACUGAGAGUGAGAUGGAGUUGAAGGUCAGUAGUCCCCUAUUAUAUGAGGCUAUGAGCUAGCAGUAUAUGUGUAACUGUGGCGAACUACGCAAGGACACACAAAUAUUGCAUUGGGGAACAGUACUGAGUAGCAGUUGUACCAUGCUGUCCAUCCACUGCAGGUACCACAUGGUUGUUUGACACAAUUUGA
This 1031-nucleotide long non-coding RNA is filed under the name Sorghum bicolor (sorghum). RNAcentral's name for it is "long non-coding RNA (SBIC_LNC009809)". The record is from RNAcentral. Lineage: Eukaryota; Viridiplantae; Streptophyta; Magnoliopsida; Poales; Poaceae.